CAAGCUAGCAAGUGAAAACAAAGAGGGGACACAUAAAUCAAAUCAUGCAAAUUAAAGCAAGGAUUAAUUUAGCUAAAUUGUUCACAAAUUCUAAGAAGCAUUCCUUCCUUAUCAAGAAAAACAUUGUUUAGUCUGCAGGAUAUAAAUAAUUUAUCAAAAUCUUAACACAGAUGACAAAAUUAAUAUUAAUACAUAGAAGGAAUGAUUCUAGUCAAACAUUUCUGGAUUUCAAUUCCAAAUGUGAUGCAUAUAUUUAAUUACAAGAAAAUAGUAAAACUGUGGUUAAAUAACUUCCUGCAAAUGAACAUAGUUCAGAAGAAAGCUGCCUCCAUCUAGUUGUGUUCUUUUGGAAACCCUUGGCUGAAAAAGAUCAGUAACCCAUACUACUAUUGCUCCCUUGACCUCAAACACCUAAAUACAUUUACGCCUCACUUGCUCAAAGAGAAAAAAUGAUCUCCUGUUCUACAAGCCCAUCAGACAGACUAAAUCAAGGAGGUGCAUGGGUCCUGCAAGAAAAAAAUAAGCAGUCCAGGAAUUUGCAGUUAACAUACGAAAAGCCAAAACGUACCAGUUCCCUUGCUUCUUCGAGCUGUUUCUCAACAUUUGCAACCAUCUGCUUCUUGUCAUCUGAAACAGAAUUGUGAAAAUACCAAUAUAAUUGUGCUCUUGCCAUGAAAGAAAAAUAUACCAUUUCAAAAGCUUA
Molecule: long non-coding RNA, 703 nt
Organism: Columba livia (rock pigeon)
Lineage: Eukaryota; Metazoa; Chordata; Aves; Columbiformes; Columbidae
Exons: 3
Source: RefSeq, a predicted model, not a curated record